This 439-nucleotide ribosomal RNA is filed under the name uncultured bacterium. RNAcentral describes it as "partial 16S ribosomal RNA". It matches the Rfam family "Bacterial small subunit ribosomal RNA", at positions 339 to 795 of the family's 1533-position model. The record is from RNAcentral.
CUACGGGUGGCACCAGUAAGGAAUAUUGCACAAUGGAGGAAACUCUGAUGCAGCAACGCCGCGUGGAGGAUGACACUUUUCGGAGCGUAAACUCCUUUUAUAUAGGAAGAAGAUGACGGUACUAUAUGAAUAAGCGCCGGCUAACUCCGUGCCAGCAGCCGCGGUAAUACGGAGGGCGCAAGCGUUACUCGGAAUCACUGGGCGUAAAGAGCGUGUAGGCGGAUUAAAAAGUCAGAAGUGAAAUCCUAUAGCUUAACUAUAGAACUGCUUCUGAAACUCUUAAUCUAGAAUAUGGGAGAGGUAGAUGGAAUUUCUGGUGUAGGGGUAAAAUCCGUAGAGAUCAGAAGGAAUACCGAUUGCGAAGGCGAUCUACUAGAACAUUAUUGACGCUGAGACGCGAAAGCGUGGGGAGCAAACAGGAUUAGAUACCCUGGUAGUC